Long non-coding RNA from Homo sapiens (human), 1000 nucleotides. RefSeq lists it as uncharacterized. NCBI's taxonomy places the organism in Eukaryota, Metazoa, Chordata, Mammalia, Primates, Hominidae. The transcript has 3 exons. The record is from RefSeq and is a predicted model, not a curated record.
GAGAGCAGCGCAUAUAUUCACAGAAAGAAUAUAGGUGACUUAAAACUUCCCCGGCAGAACUUCACUGAAACAGCUCUGGAAAGAGCGGUGACAGUUAACCAGAUUUGUAGACCUUCCCACGUACCCUUAUGGACAGAGUCAAACAUGGAGCUGUUGGCAAAGCAGAAAUGUGGUCUGCAGAGUUUGAGCCCCAGUGUCACAAAGCAGAGUGUAAAAGGGUAAAUAACAGCUUACAAGCAGAAGUCACGAAGAUCUUACUGAAAAUAACCAUAACAUAAUCUUUCAUCUAAAGACUUUCCUGGCUCCUCCUGUAUAGUGCUUUACUUUGCUGAACUUGCAUACACACCAGGUUAAUUUAUAGUUGGAGAAAAGCCUUAUAACUCUUAAAGCCCCCUAACUCACUCUCCAGCUUCCAAGGACACAGGGGUUAUGUCAACAUGCUGGGAUGCUAUAGGGACAUUAAAAUGACAAACGUGCUAACUAAUGUCAAUAUAUGGACAUGGUAAUACAAAAUUUAAAAAUUAAAAAAAAAAAUCCCAGAAGACAACAUCCUAGGGGUACUUAUAUAUAACAAUGUAAAGUUUAUAGAUGUACAUGAAAAGAUUGGAAGUAAAAUUGGAAUAAUGUGAAUUAAAUUGAAAUAAGUCAUUGUACCUCAAUGUUCCAUUUUUUCUUUCUAUAAAAUUGUGCAAGUUCAUAAUUGUUUUUUUAAAGAAAAAAUGAGAAAAUUUGCUCAUUUGUGUUUCCCAAACUGCUUCUCUAUUAGAUCUGUGUCCAUGCCAAUGGUUUUUUUUUUUUGUAUCUUCUUUGAACAAAUAAAGUAAUGUUGGUUUUGUCUGACCUAUAACCCCAGCUUUUUAAACACUUUAUGCUUUUACAGCUGUUUAGUAUAAUAUCAUAGACUGAGUAGAGUUUGCCCUCUGAAUUAAUUUUCAAAAUAAGAUCAAUAUGUACAAUUAAAGAAAAUCACUAUAAAAACUAUACUAUCUAUCAUACAACA